This 86-nucleotide transfer RNA is filed under the name subsurface metagenome. RNAcentral's name for it is "tRNA-Leu". It matches the Rfam family "tRNA". Rfam says of the family: Transfer RNA (tRNA) molecules are approximately 80 nucleotides in length. Their secondary structure includes four short double-helical elements and three loops (D, anti-codon, and T loops). The record is from RNAcentral.
GCCGAGGUGGCGGAAUGGCAGACGCGGCGGACUUAAAAUCCGUUUCCCGCAAGGGAGUGUGGGUUCGAGUCCCUCCCUCGGCACCA